Molecule: ribosomal RNA, 114 nt
Filed under: Pogona vitticeps (central bearded dragon)
Lineage: Eukaryota; Metazoa; Chordata; Lepidosauria; Squamata; Agamidae
Source: RNAcentral
UUUCAAAUCCAUGCUGAAUGGAUAUGAGCUCAUUAGGUUUUAGAAGCUAAGCAAUUGGGGCCUGGUCAGUACUUUGGAUGGAAGACCACAAGGGACUAUCAAGAAAUGUUAACC